AAUAGAUACCCGGGUAGUCCACGCCGUAAACGAUGAGUGCUAAGUGUUAGAGGGUUUCCGCCCUUUAGUGCUGCAGCUAACGCAUUAAGCACUCCGCCUGGGGAGUACGGUCGCAAGACUGAAACUCAAAGGAAUUGACGGGGGCCCGCACAAGCGGUGGAGCAUGUGGUUUAAUUCGAAGCAACGCGAAGAACCUUACCAGGUCUUGACAUCCUCUGACAACUCUAGAGAUAGAGCGUUCCCCUUCGGGGGACAGAGUGACAGGUGGUGCAUGGUUGUCGUCAGCUCGUGUCGUGAGAUGUUGGGUUAAGUCCCGCAACGAGCGCAACCCUUGAUCUUAGUUGCCAGCAUUUAGUUGGGCACUCUAAGGUGACUGCCGGUGACAAACCGGAGGAAGGUGGGGAUGACGUCAAAUCAUCAUGCCCCUUAUGACCUGGGCUACACGCGUGCUACAAUGGAUGGUACAAAGGGCUGCAAGACCGCGAGGUCAAGCCAAUCCCAUAAAACCAUUCUCAGUUCGGA
RNAcentral lists this ribosomal RNA (522 nucleotides) under uncultured bacterium. RNAcentral describes it as "bacterial SSU rRNA". It matches the Rfam family "Bacterial small subunit ribosomal RNA", at positions 777 to 1297 of the family's 1533-position model. The record is from RNAcentral.